This 604-nucleotide long non-coding RNA is filed under the name Selaginella moellendorffii. RNAcentral's name for it is "long non-coding RNA (SMOE_LNC002481)". The record is from RNAcentral. Lineage: Eukaryota; Viridiplantae; Streptophyta; Lycopodiopsida; Selaginellales; Selaginellaceae.
GAAUGAAGAAUGCGAUCGCUACUCACCCAUUCCAGAAGGUAUUGUCGCUCGAUCGGUUGAUUCAAGUCCGUGCUCCUUCGUCCACUUACAAUCUCCAGGCUGAGGAUCCCAAAGCUGAAAACGUCUGCUUUGUCUGUGAGGUGGCCGUGGAGUGCGUACUCCGGUGCCAUGUAUCCCCUGCAAUGCGGUAAGAGAUUGUGAAACUUUCUCAAGAGAUUUGUUCUUACAGAGUUCCUGCGAUCUGAGUGUUGAUAGAUCUCUCGUCCGAGUACAACCUUGCCAGGCCAAAGUCUGCGAUCUUGGCCUCGAACUUUUCGUCGAGAAGUACGUUCCCUGCCUUGAUGUCUCUGUGUAUGAUCUUUACCUGCGAAUCCUCGUGCAGAUAGGCAAGGCCUCGAGCUACACCAAGGAUGACAUUGUACCUUUGCUCCCACGAGAGACAAAGAUUUCCUGGAUCACAGGUAACUACUUAGUUCGUGAUCUUUUCAAACUUUCACGAAGCACGUACCUUGAAACAGGACUCUGGACAAGCUGUUGUUCUCGAGAAGCUCGUAAACGAGAAGCCUUUCGGAUUCCUCGGUACAGCAGCCGUAUAAUUUGACCA